Molecule: ribosomal RNA, 421 nt
Filed under: uncultured bacterium
Lineage: Bacteria
Description: bacterial SSU rRNA
Rfam family: Bacterial small subunit ribosomal RNA
Source: RNAcentral
AUUGAACGCUGGCGGCAUGCUUUACACAUGCAAGUCGAACGGCAGCACGGGUGCUUGCACCUGGUGGCGAGUGGCGAACGGGUGAGUAAUGCAUCGGAACGUGCCCAUGAGUGGGGGAUAGCCCGGCGAAAGCCGGAUUAAUACCGCAUACGCCCUUAGGGGGAAAGCGGGGGAUCUUCGGACCUCGCGCUAUUGGAGCGGCCGAUGUCGGAUUAGCUAGUAGGUGGGGUAAAGGCUCACCUAGGCGACGAUCCGUAGCUGGUCUGAGAGGAUGAUCAGCCACACUGGGACUGAGACACGGCCCAGACUCCUACGGGAGGCAGCAGUGGGGAAUUUUGGACAAUGGGCGAAAGCCUGAUCCAGCCAUGCCGCGUGAGUGAAGAAGGCCUCGGUUGUAAGCGUACUUCUAGGUGAGAAGAAA